GCUGCAGUCGUGCAAUGGUUAACACAUCUGCCUCGUAAGCAGAAGACCUGGGUUCAAGUCCCAGCAGUGGCA
Non-coding RNA from Schistocerca piceifrons (Central American locust), 72 nucleotides. NCBI's taxonomy places the organism in Eukaryota, Metazoa, Arthropoda, Insecta, Orthoptera, Acrididae. The record is from the annotation of a RefSeq genome assembly.